RNAcentral lists this long non-coding RNA (1050 nucleotides) under Callithrix jacchus (white-tufted-ear marmoset). RNAcentral's name for it is "lncRNA (ENSCJAG00000069796.1)". Lineage: Eukaryota; Metazoa; Chordata; Mammalia; Primates; Cebidae. The record is from RNAcentral.
AGUGUUCAGGAUGGAGAUGGAUAUGUAAAUCUAGAAUUAAAGGAAGGAGCUGGGUGACUCAGGUCUGAGAAUCCUAACUGUGUAAAUGGUAUUUAAAGCUAUGAAGCAGGAUGAUGUCACCAAGCAGGGCGUGUAGACAGAGGAGAGGGAUGAGGGAAGCCCGCCAGCUUCUAGAGGCAGAAGAGGAGCUUCUCCAAGGGACCCAGGAGGAGGAGCCUGCCAGGUAGCAGGAGACACUGCUGAGUGUGGUGUCGCAGGCUGGGGAAGAACAUUUGUCUGGGAUGUCUAGAGCAUUACGUUUAAAAUAGAAGAUUCAAUUUGUUUUUCAUUAUUUCAGGUAGGCAAUCCAAAACAUACUGUGUUUUUUUUUUAUAUCACAAAAUUAUUUCCCCUCAAUGUUUUUUGUUUAUUUAUAUUCAUACUGUGUUUACCUCUACAAAAGGAUGUGAGGCAAUUGGGUGUAAAGUGGCAUUCCAGAUAACUAACUCAUUGGAAUAGAAAAUUAAGAUGAAAUGGAAGGUAGGGAAAGCUAAAGACUAUUUGCGUUAAUGUGCUAUACCUGAUUGCCGUGACAGGAUAUCCCAUUUAACUCACUCUCCCAGUAGCCAGCAUCAAAAGGAACAGGUUAGGUUUUAAAAUCAUCUUCUUCAGAUAGGGGAAUAUUAAAAUUUAAAGGCAACAGAGCAUUUCCUAUACGAAUGCUAGAACUAGAAUUUAUUCUGGGAGUUGUCGUGUACAUAGUGAUUCACAAAAUGUCAAAAAACCCCAGUGUUCAUCAUUAUUUUAUUCCUACAGAAGCAGAAGAUCUUUGAGGUGCUUUCUACUAUCAUCCCUAUUUUACAGAUGAGAAAACUGAGGCUGGGAGGGAGAAAGAUCGUCUACCUCUUAAUCAGUCAGGACAGGCCUGAGGCAAGGGCAGAACUCCUGAUGGCUGAAGACAUUCUAGUCCUGCUGUUGCCUGCAAUUCCCAGCCUGGCGGAUCUUGGCAGAGUUUCUGCUGAGAAGAAGGGAUCAUUACUGGCCUUGUCCACUGUGGCUGUAGACUUGUGA